RNAcentral lists this ribosomal RNA (229 nucleotides) under uncultured bacterium. RNAcentral's name for it is "partial 16S ribosomal RNA". It matches the Rfam family "Bacterial small subunit ribosomal RNA", at positions 568 to 796 of the family's 1533-position model. The record is from RNAcentral.
GACGUAGGCGGCUUUUCAAGUCGGUUGUAAAAUCUCCUCGCUUAACGGGGAGGGAUCAGCCGAUACUGUUGAGCUUGAGAGCAGCAGAGGGAGGCGGAAUUCCCGGUGGAGUGGUGAUAUGCGUAGAUAUCGGGAAGAACACCAGUGGCGAAGGCGGCCUCCUGGGCUGUUUCUGACGCUGAGGUCCGAAAGCGUGGGGAGCGAACAGGAUUAGAUACCCUGGUAGUCC